This 73-nucleotide transfer RNA is filed under the name Agathobacter rectalis. RNAcentral's name for it is "[Eubacterium] rectale transfer RNA-Arg". It matches the Rfam family "tRNA". From Rfam's summary of the family: Transfer RNA (tRNA) molecules are approximately 80 nucleotides in length. Their secondary structure includes four short double-helical elements and three loops (D, anti-codon, and T loops). Further hydrogen bonds mediate the characteristic L-shaped molecular structure. tRNAs have two regions of fundamental functional importance: the anti-codon, which is responsible for specific mRNA codon recognition, and the 3' end, to which the tRNAs corresponding amino acid is attached (by aminoacyl-tRNA synthetases). tRNAs cope with the degeneracy of the genetic code in two manners: having more than one tRNA (with a specific anti-codon) for a particular amino acid; and 'wobble' base-pairing, i.e. permitting non-standard base-pairing at the 3rd anti-codon position. RNAcentral also lists the same sequence under 10 other names. Lineage: Bacteria; Bacillati; Bacillota; Clostridia; Lachnospirales; Lachnospiraceae. The record is from RNAcentral.
GUGACCGUAGUUUAAUGGAUAAAAUUCCGGACUCCGACUCCGGCGAGUGCGCGUUCGAUUCGCGUCGGUCACA